UUUCCUUUAGCUCUGUAGGUACCUUUUCCAUCACGGCGUUGUUUUGUGUAAGCAGUAGCUUUUUUCCUCUAGUAAAAGAUCUCAAAUUGAGACAUGCACAUUCUAGGGGAGAAAAGUCAGGCACAACCUAGUGUAUUUCAAGUCCUCAGAGCUAUCAUAACAGCAUUGAUCUCAAUAGAAAUCCUGAUAUUUUAAUGAAAUUGUGUCCCUAAGCUAUGCUGACAAUUUGCAACAAGCCAUUCAUCAGCCUGUGUUAAGUAGUAAGGCUUUGUUAGGCCAAGCAAAAAGUCGACAUCGUUACUCUGACAUCCUAACACUAACUAUACAUUUAAAGUGAUCCUUUUCAUUUCCUUAUUUAAAUAUCAUUGUCCAAGGUAUAUUGCUUUUUCCCUGGGAGGAAUUAUUUUUAAAACCCUAAAUCUCAUAGUUGAUACAUCCUCAUGGAAGGCCAGGGUGCUCCAGUGGCAAAUGGCCACCAGCCUGGUCCUUCCUAGGGCUGCCAUCAAGCCAAAGCCAUUCCAUGUGCUAACUGUCCUGUGGAGUUCUCUAGAAUUGCUAGCGAAGUCUGCCCUAACACAAAUGACCUUCCUUUUUGUUUUUUUAAUUUUACUUUAAGUUCUGGGAUCCAUGUGCAGAACAUGCAGGUUUGUUACAUAGGUAUACAUGUGCCAUAGUAGUUUGCUGCACCUAUCAGCCCAUCAUCCAGGUUUUAAGUCCCGCAUGCAUUAGGUAUUUGUCCUAAUGCUCUCCCUCCCCUUCCCCCCCAACCCCCUGACAGGCCCUGGUGUGUGAUGUCCCCGUCCCUGUGUCCAUGUGUUCUCAUUGUUCAACUCCCACUUAUGAAUGAGAACAUGCAGUGUUUGGUUUUCUGUUCCUCUGUUAGUUUGCUGAGAAUGAUGGCUUCCAGCUUCAUCCAUGUCCCUGCAAAGGACAUGAGCUCAUUCUUUUUUACGGCUGCAUAGUAUUCUGUGGUGUAUAUGUGCCAUAUUUUCUUUAUCCAGUCUAUCAUUGACGGGCACACAAAUGAGCUUCCUUAGCACAGCUCUUUAACUGGGUGCAGUUCUGAUUUUACCACUAGGUUUUGAAUUAGGAUGAAGGAGGGGAAUGUAGUGGGUGGAUAUGCAUGUGGUGCAGUCGGCAAAAACAAGCCCUCAGCACAGGGUGGCGAUCACUUAGCCUUUGUCAGGAGUGCUGUGAGUAUCUUUCCCCAGUUCAUAGCUUUUAAUGAAAAUAAGCUUAGUUUUAUGUCAUUGAAUGUAUUGUUUCCUCUGUAGUUGUGCUUUUUGUGUAUCACCAAAGUCUUCUCUGACCUGUGGGCUUGGAGACAGUCCUCCUGGAUUUUAUCUGAAGGUGUUGCUUUCACACUUAGGUCUAUAGUCCACUAAGAAUGGAUUUAUUUAGGUAGAAUGAAGUAGGGGUGCAAUUUAGUUUUUUUUUCCUAUAUGGAUAUUCAUUUGUCCCCACACCACGUGCUAAAAAGACUGCCCUGGCUGGGCGCAGUGGCUCACGCCUGUAAUCCCAGCACUUUGGGAGGCCAAGGCAGGUGGAUCACAAGGUCAGGAGAUGGAGACCAUCCUGGCUAACACGGUGAAACCCCGUCUCUACUAAAAAUACAAAAAGUUAGCCGGGUGUGGUUGCGGGCGCCUGUAGUCCCAGCUACUCGGGAGGCUGAGGCAGGAGAAUGGCGUGAACCCGGGAGGCAGAGCUUGCAGUGAGCUGAGAUUGCGCCACUGCACUCCAGCCUUGGUGACGAGUGAGUCUCCAUCUCAAAAAAAAAAAAAAAAAAACACCAAAAAAAAAACACUGCCCUGUCCUUGCUGCUCCAAGAUGCCAUUGUGGUCAUAGAGCAAGUAUCUGUGAAUGUGUGGUUCUGUGUUGGGGCUUUCUGUUUUGUUCCACUGGCAAAGGCCUGGACGAAUUGGCCAAGGCCAUAGUGUCCCAGCUCCCACAGCUGCAGAAGCUCCUCACCUUCCCAGCAUCGGAAGUGCUAGGCCUGGCUUUCUGCUUGUUUUCGUAGCUUCUAGACUCAAAUUUCAUCAAAACACCCAAGAUUCUGUUAUGAGUUUGAUUGAAAUUGCAGCGAAUCUGUAGAGCAAUUUAGGAAGAAUUAAUAUCUUAAAAUUAUAUUAGAUCUUCCAAUUCAAGAGUCUAGUCUGUUCUUCAUUUGUUUAGGUCUUUCCUAAUAUAUUUCAGUAAAGUUUUAUAAUUUUAGCUGUAAAGGUCUGGCACAUCUUCUGUUAGAUUUAUUUCUAGACAUUUUAUAUUUUAAAAUUUGAUUUAAAAUACCAUUUACACAAUUACCUUUUCUGUUUGUUUCUGAUGCAGGAAAAUGAUGCGAUUAAUUUUUGUACUUUUUUUUGGUACAUUGACUUGUUAACCUUAUUAGAGUCUUUUUAAUUCUGGUAAUUCAUGUGUAGGUUCAUCUUUUUAAUGUGCAUAUUUGUUUUUUGUGAUGACAAUUUUUUCCCCUAAUUCUUUCUAAUAUGUAUAACUUUUAUUUAUUUUUCUUACGUUAUUGCAUUUGAUAGGACAGGCAGUACAGCAGUGAAUUGCCAUGAUGAUACAGACCACCCUUAUUUCACUGUUAAUAAGAUGUUCACUGUAGGUUUUUUUAGUAUUCCCUUCUAUUCCUGGUUGGAGUUCUCAUCUGGAUUAGAUGUUAAAUUGUAUCAAAUCCUCUUUUUAAAUUUAAAUAUUUUUAAAAAUGAAUUUUAAGUUGGGAGGUAACUGGUAUCAAAUACCCUUUUUGUAUCUAUUGAGAUGAUCAUGUUUUUCUCUUUUAACCUGAUAAUGUGUUAUAUUAUAUUGAUUUUAAAUAUUAAAUUGCUAUUUCAUUCCUGGAAUAAACCCAGCUUUUAUACAUUGCUACAAUUUGCAUACACACACACACAUACACACACGUAUAUAUAUAUUUUAGAAUUUUUGCACUUACAUUCACAAAUUAGAUUGGUUCACACUUUGCCCAUACUUUUCUUCGUUAGGUUUUGUUUUUAAGGUUAUGCUAGCCUCAUUGAAUUAAUUUGGAGAUGUUCCUUUUUGUUUUUAUGCUCUGUCAUUCUUUGUUCCCUGGAUGACCAGGAUAACUCUUGGUGAAAUGGCUCAUCCUUGGUGUUUUCUUUGUAGAAAGACUUGAAAUUACGGGUUUACUUUCCAUCUCCUGCUUUUCUGGGAUGUCUCAGCUGCCUGACACACACUAAACUUUUGAAGAUUUGAGUUUUCUUAGUGUUGUGGCAGCUUUGUCAGCUAAAAACAGUUUGAUGCUAAAGGAAGCUUAGCCUCUCAUGUUAAUCUGUUAUUUAUUUGUUUAACAGAGAAGUGAUUGAAAAGAAGCCAGAAAAGUUUAAAGUCCAGUGUUUGACAGACAUCAAAAACCUGUUUUUCCCCAACACAGAACCCUUUUAUGCUGCUUUUGGAAACCGACCGGCUGAUGUGUAUUCAUACAAGCAAGUAGGAGUGUCUUUGAAUAGAAUAUUUACCGUCAACCCUAAAGGAGAGCUGGUACAGGAACAUGCAAAGACCAACAUCUCUUCGUAUGUGAGACUCUGUGAAGUAGUCGACCACGUUUUCCCGUUGCUGAAAAGAAGCCAUUCUUCAGACUUUCCCUGUUCGGAUACCUUCAGUAACUUCACCUUUUGGAGAGAGCCACUGCCACCUUUUGAAAACCAGGACAUUCAUUCUGCCUCAGCGUAAAAUGUCCCAAGCAGUCUCUUGCCAGCAGUGCAGAGCCUGGUUGUCACCCAUUAAAGGAUAGGUCUCCCUGGAGUGCACAGCUCCACCUGGGAGCCUGGCGCGUCAUCAUUGGCCUGACAGCAGAGAGAAUUGAGAAGCAUUUCUCCCCUGCCCCACCCCGGGGCUGACAUUUCUAAGCAAGAUAGGAAGGGAGCACUUUCUAGGUGAGGAGUUGGUCGCAUUUGUACCGUGAAAAGCAUUCCUCAGUUGUGGCUUAAUGCCAGUUACGACGCUGCCUUUCCGGCCUGCUCCAGCAAGUAGCUGUUGGUUCAUGUGCAGUCUGGGGCUGUGAAACCUAGGCAGAAGGUGGCUGUCUGAGGGCUGUCCCCUCCUAGGACAGGGUCAAUCAAGGAAUGCCAGAUGUGCACGGUUUUUGGCAAAGUAGGGGGCACAUUUCCAUUAUAGCAAUGUUAGUGCCACCACCUUCUGAACACAGUGGGGAGGGCUGUGAAGGCUCAUGUGACCUGGAUCUGAGGUCUCUGCUAGAAAUCCAGACGUCACCGGGUCCAGGCUUGGCCUCAGACUUGGCCUUUUGGAUGGGCCCCUUACAGUAUUUGCUGACUAGUCUCAUUUUUAGGUGAUAAGUUUUUCUUUAAUUCCUUUGGUUAAAGAUAGUCUAUUUAAUUGGCAUAUCUCCCCCCAGUUUUUGUGGCUCAAGGCUGGAAUAUUUAUGCCUUAGUGUAUCUAUGGCAGACAUUUUAUUGAGAAUGCGCUUUAUCUAGCUCAUGGUAACUUUGCAACGCCUUAGAUUAAAAUGAUAGUAAAUAUUACUAAGGCAGUAUUUUGAGUGAGUUUGACACUGCCCGCUUCCUUCCAUCCAGCAAGGUGGUGCUGACCAUGUGGUCUUGGGCGCACUUAUGCCAAAUGAUAAUGAUAUUGACUUCUACUGGGAGCUCUCCGAAGAAACUGGUUGGUUUUAAGAAAAUAGUUUCAAGAAGUUAAACUAUAUUCUUUUAGAUAUUAUUUAUUGUUUUACUCUGAUUAGGUUACUGUGCUAGGCAUUUUAGUCAUAUUCUUUCUAUACCACUGUCAUUAAUAUAUUAAAAAGAUAUAUGUGUUAGACUAUCCAAAGGGCCUUACUCUCUCAUUCUCAUAGACUGACCUUCUUUUGGAAUUUAUGAGUCAUUUAUUUUCCUUAGUUUUUUCCACUCAAAUUAAGGGCAAGUGAAAAAGUAAUAAUUUGAGUGGCAUUCUUUAAGCUGACAGAAUGUGAUUCUUUCACUUAUUACACUGGCUUGUGGACAGAACAAUUUGAAAAGUGAAAGAAUUAUUUUGGUAAAAGAUUUUGCUUUAUUUUUUGAAGCAUUAUUUUUUUAAAGAGUGUUUUACUCCAACGAUUGAAACAUUUUCCUAUUUAAAUUUCAUUGUUAGAAUCACAGGAGGCAAAAAAUGGAACAGUUGAAUGAAAUUUUACUCUUUCUGUGAAAGAAAAUCCACAGAGUUGUUGCCUCCGUUGUAGUUGGUGGGCCCUGUUAGCAUCGGAUGCCUUUGCCAGAUGGUUUAUGUGGACACACAAAGGCAAACAUAGAUCUGCCAUCGAUUGCAGAUUUCUCUAGAAACACGGAUGUGCAUGUGCAGAUUCCCUUUUGGAGGUAUUAAAAAUAAUUAAAAAUAGUCCUGCCUGAGGUUGCAGUGAGCCGAGCUUGCACUACUGCACUCCAGCCUGGGUGACAGAGUGAGGCUCUAUGUC
Molecule: small RNA, 5419 nt
Filed under: Pongo abelii (Sumatran orangutan)
Lineage: Eukaryota; Metazoa; Chordata; Mammalia; Primates; Hominidae
Description: retained intron
Source: RNAcentral